GAGUGGUCCCAGGGGCGGAGGAGUCUGCAGCUCGACCCUGGCAGAGAGGUGGUGACCUCGAGAAGGGCUGGCACACUAGGGGGCCCCCUGGGAACUGUGGGGAGCUGUGAGCACACAGGCCGGUGAGUGGCCAGCAGGAAGAUGUAUGCCAAGCGGCUUAAGAGCGACCUGGUGGAGCUGUGCAAGCAGAGGGGACUGUGCAUUGGGAGGCUCACCAAAGAACAGCUCAUUGCCCGGCUGGAGGCGGAAGAUCGCGCGAAUGAACUGAUCCCUGUGUGUCAGGGAAGCAGCCUGGCAAAUGCAGCGCAGGCACCAGAGUCUGUCCCAGCUGGGAGUGGUCAGCCGGCUGCUGAGGGCUUCCCGAGACCCCUCCUUCCUAUGCCUAGGGGAAGGGUGGGGAGGAGCCCAGCAAAUACCAAGGGUGCCGUGACCCCCCUGGCCAGCAGGGGAUCCCCCCGGCGAAGCUCGCCGGCCAGCAGAGGAUCCUCCCGGCGACGUUCGGCAUCCGUGGAGCGGAAUUGGCUGGAAUGGGAGAAAGAGCUAAAACUGAGAGAGCUGGAGGAUCGUGAACAACAGAGACAGCGUCAGCAUGAACGGGAGGAGAAAGAGAGACAGCAUCAGCGUGAACGGGAGGAGAAAGAGAGACAGAGACAGCAUGAACGGGAGGAGAAUGAGAGACAGCGUCAGCAUGAAGAGAGACAGAGACAGGAGAAUGAGAGAGAGCGUCAGCAUGACCUGGAACUGGCGAGAUUGAAGGGCAGCGAACCCCCGGCUGCGGUGAGUGAGGGGGGACCCAGGACUGCACGGAGCUUUGAUAAGUGCAUCCUGGCCCCACGCAAGGAGCGGGAGGACAUGGAUGACUUCCUGGAGGCUUUUGAGACGGCCUGCGAGCUGCACCGGGUUGAUCCCGCGGACAGACUCCGGGUCCUUACCCCCUUGCUGGACCCCAAAGCCGUGGCAUUGUACCGCCAACUGGGAGAGGCAGAGAAAGGGGACUACGAACUAUUCAAAAAGGCCCUGCUACGUGAGUUUGGGCUGACUCCUGAGAUGUACCG
Molecule: long non-coding RNA, 1055 nt
Filed under: Chrysemys picta bellii (western painted turtle)
Lineage: Eukaryota; Metazoa; Chordata; Testudines; Emydidae
Description: lncRNA (ENSCPBG00000004758.1)
Source: RNAcentral